GCCUCAUUAGCGUAAUGGGAGCGCAUCUGGCUGAAGACCGGCAGGAGAAAGUUCGAAUCUUUCAUGAGGCA
Molecule: transfer RNA, 71 nt
Filed under: marine sediment metagenome
Description: tRNA-Phe
Rfam family: tRNA
About the family: Transfer RNA (tRNA) molecules are approximately 80 nucleotides in length. Their secondary structure includes four short double-helical elements and three loops (D, anti-codon, and T loops).
Source: RNAcentral